GAUGAACGCUAGCUACAGGCUUAACACAUGCAAGUCGCGGGGCAGCAUGGGGGUUGCUUGCAAUCCCCGAUGGCGACCGGCGCACGGGUGAGUAACGCGUAUUCAACCUGCCCUUCACCACGGGAUAACCCGGCGAAAGUCGGACUAAUACCGUAUGUUGUCCAUUGACGGCAUCCGAUUUGGACGAAAGGCUUGGCGGUGAGGGAUGGGGAUGCGUCCGAUUAGCCAGACGGCGGGGUAACGGCCCACCGUGGCUACGAUCGGUAGGGGUUCUGAGAGGAAGGUCCCCCACACUGGAACUGAGACACGGUCCAGACUCCUACGGGAGGCAGCAGUGAGGAAUAGUGGUCAAUGGGCGUAAGCCUGAACCAGCCAAGUAGCGUGCAGGAUGACGGCCCUAGGGGUUGUAAACUGCUUUUAUGCGGGGAUAAAGUGGCCCACGUGUGGGCUUUUGCAGGUACCGCAUGAAUAAGGACCGGCUAAUUCCGUG
Molecule: ribosomal RNA, 490 nt
Filed under: uncultured bacterium
Lineage: Bacteria
Description: partial 16S ribosomal RNA
Rfam family: Bacterial small subunit ribosomal RNA
Source: RNAcentral